Molecule: ribosomal RNA, 468 nt
Filed under: uncultured bacterium
Lineage: Bacteria
Description: partial 16S ribosomal RNA
Rfam family: Bacterial small subunit ribosomal RNA
Source: RNAcentral
GACGAACGCUGGCGGCGUGCUUAACACAUGCAAGUCGAACGGUGAAGCUCCAGCUUGCUGGAGUGGAUCAGUGGCGAACGGGUGAGUAACACGUGAGCAACCUGCCCCUGACUCUGGAAUAAGCGCUGGAAACGGCGUCUAAUACUGGAUACGAGAAGGGUCCGCAUGGGCACUUUCUGGAAAGUUUUUCGGUUGGGGAUGGGCUCGCGGCCUAUCAGCUUGUUGGUGAGGUAAUGGCUCACCAAGGCGACGACGGGUAGCCGGCCUGAGAGGGCGACCGGCCACACUGGGACUGAGACACGGCCCAGACUCCUACGGGAGUCAGCAGUGGGGAAUAUUGCACAAUGGGCGAAAGCCUGAUGCAGCGACGCCGCGUGAGGGAUGACGGCCUUCGGGUUGUAAACCUCUUUCAGCAGGGAAGAAGCGAAAGUGACGGUACCUGCAGAAGAAGCACCGGCUAACUACGUG